GGAGAGGUGGCCGAGUGGUUUAAGGCGCGCGCCUGGAAAGCGCGUGGACGCCGAAAGGCGUCUCGGGAGUUCGAAUCUCCCCUUCUCCGCCA
RNAcentral lists this transfer RNA (92 nucleotides) under Candidatus Omnitrophota bacterium. RNAcentral describes it as "tRNA-Ser". It matches the Rfam family "tRNA". From Rfam's summary of the family: Transfer RNA (tRNA) molecules are approximately 80 nucleotides in length. Their secondary structure includes four short double-helical elements and three loops (D, anti-codon, and T loops). The record is from RNAcentral. Lineage: Bacteria; Pseudomonadati; Candidatus Omnitrophota.